CCAGAGAUGGUUUCCUUCAGUUAGGCUGGAUCGGUGACAGGUGCUGCAUGGCUGUCGUCAGCUCGUGUCGUGAGAUGUUGGGUUAAGUCCCGCAACGAACGCAACCCUUGCCCUUAGUUGCAAUUUUUUUGAAAAGGCACUCUAAGGGGGCUGCCGGUGAUAAGCCGAGAGGAAGGUGGGGAUGACGUCAAGUCCUCAUGGCCCUUACGGGCUGGGCUACACACGUGCUACAAUGGUGGUGACAGUGGGCAGCGAGACCGCGAGGUCGAGCUAAUCUCCAAAAGCCAUCUCAGUUCGGAUUGCACUCUGCAACUCGAGUGCAUGAAGUUGGAAUCGCUAGUAAUCGCAGAUCAGCAUGCUGCGAGAAAAUACGUUCCCGGGCCUUGUACACACCGCCCGUCACACCAUGGGAGUUGGUUUUACCCGAAGGCUCUCCUCCUUCCCUCAAGGGAAGCAGGCGACCACGGUAGGGUC
This 474-nucleotide ribosomal RNA is filed under the name uncultured Mesorhizobium sp. RNAcentral describes it as "bacterial SSU rRNA". It matches the Rfam family "Bacterial small subunit ribosomal RNA", at positions 1000 to 1469 of the family's 1533-position model. The record is from RNAcentral. Lineage: Bacteria; Pseudomonadati; Pseudomonadota; Alphaproteobacteria; Hyphomicrobiales; Phyllobacteriaceae.